CGGGCGGACGGGUGAGUAACGCGUGGGUAACCUACCCUGUACACACGGAUAACAUACCGAAAGGUAUGCUAAUACGGGAUAAUAUAUUUGAGAGGCAUCUCUUGAAUAUCAAAGGUGAGCCAGUACAGGAUGGACCCGCGUCUGAUUAGCUAGUUGGUAAGGUAACGGCUUACCAAGGCGACGAUCAGUAGCCGACCUGAGAGGGUGAUCGGCCACAUUGGGACUGAGACACGGCCCAA
Molecule: ribosomal RNA, 239 nt
Filed under: uncultured bacterium
Lineage: Bacteria
Description: partial 16S ribosomal RNA
Rfam family: Bacterial small subunit ribosomal RNA
Source: RNAcentral